GAACGAACGCUGGCGGCAUGCCUACCCCAUGCAAGUCGAACGAGACCUUCGGGUCUAGUGGCGCACGGGUGCGUAACGCGUGGGAACCUGCCCUUAGGUUCGGAAUAACUCCCCGAAAGGGGUGCUAAUACCGGAUAAUGUCUUCGGACCAAAGAUUUAUCGCCUUUGGAUGGGCCCGCGUUGGAUUAGCUAGUUGGUAGGGUAAAAGCCUACCAAGGCGACGAUCCAUAGCUGGUCUGAGAGGAUGAUCAGCCACACUGGGACUGAGACACGGCCCAGACUCCUACGGGAGGCAGCAGUGGGGAAUAUUGGACAAUGGGCGAAAGCCUGAUCCAGCAAUGCCGCGUGAGUGAUGAAGGCCUUAGGGUUGUAAAGCUCUUUUACCCGGGAUGAUAAUGACAGUACCGGGAGAAUAAGCUCCGGCUAACUCCGUG
RNAcentral lists this ribosomal RNA (434 nucleotides) under uncultured bacterium. RNAcentral's name for it is "partial 16S ribosomal RNA". It matches the Rfam family "Bacterial small subunit ribosomal RNA", at positions 27 to 507 of the family's 1533-position model. The record is from RNAcentral.